Long non-coding RNA from Dalotia coriaria, 1720 nucleotides. RefSeq lists it as uncharacterized. The record is from RefSeq and is a predicted model, not a curated record. Lineage: Eukaryota; Metazoa; Arthropoda; Insecta; Coleoptera; Staphylinidae. The transcript has 2 exons.
CAUAAAUGUAUGGAUCCAGCAUAAAGUAAACGCACAUCAAGACAUCAGCAAUACGCGAAAAGAUCGCACAAAAUUUACUUGUCGGAAAAAAUUGCGUCAACGGAAUUGAUAUCUCAUGCGACGAAUACGAUGCAAAUAAAUGCCAUCAGUUUGGCAAAGGCCAAUUCCUCAGUGGUAGGGAUAUUUUUGUGGUUGACGCCAUUUUGGGUAAUGAUCGCGCGACUCACGCGUCGAAUUAGUACCUUUUCCUGUUUGCGCCCAAUACGGCUCAAGGCAACAAACACCUGCGAGUUGAAAUAAGCGAUGCAGAAGCACAAAGUUGUUCCUGCAAACACAUAAAUAGCACAAUCGAAAAUGAUAAGGACGAUGCAAUUACCGAAAAGCAGAAACAAAUAGGCGUAAACGAUGUCUAAGACUUCGGUGGCUUGACGAUAGCGACAACAUUUUCCGUUCUCAUAGAACAAGCCAAACCCAAAAAACGGAGUGUAUGUCAACAGUGCAGCAAACACCCACAACAGAAAAAUUGUUCGUCCAAGGAAUACUUUCGUGACGUACUGCAACACAAUGAAACAAUACGAUACAUGAAAUCAAUUAGGAGCAAGUGGUCGAUUGAUUGGUUUCAAUUAGUGCAACUCAAUUGAUGUUGAAUUUUAGGGAGCCGUGACGCGGUUACGUGGUUACCUGUUGAUAGACAAAUGGCCUAGUCAAAGCGAGCCAUCGCUCGAUGGCCAUCACGAGCGCCACACACCCAGAACCCAAACCAAAAGCGCGCAGCAUCACAAAUAAUACACACAUCCAAUAAAUCGGAAUGGAUACCAUCUUGGGCAGCACCAUCAACGUGAGCAUGCCCAGCUGGGCGACCAAAUCGUUGACGGCCAAACAUCGCAGCAUCAACACAUGCUUGGCAUUCCGUGUUUUCGCCGAUUUGUACAAGAUCCAUAGUGCGAAAACAUUGCCACAGCUGCCGAGAACGAACGCGGUCGCGAUCAGCCAUUGCCGCAGAGCUCCAACGUCCAUCAUCAUUUCGAAAACAUAUCACACACACACACGCACGUACUCACGCACACAUAUUUACACUAGCAGCUAAUUUGAUAUCACAAUGACUAGACUAGACUUCCGACUGGACGUGGUUGUCGUAAUGCGACUACAUUUUGGGCGCACUUGGCUGGAGUGCUUUGUUGACGCUCACAUUGAAAGCAAACACGAUUAUCACUGGCCCCAAAACAGAGACGUUCAUUUGAAAUCGUUAGCAAGCAAACAUUUAGGCCGCAGAGGAUCGCAGGUAGAAGAUGGAGGAUCUUCACCUCUCAGUGGUCGACGGCGUACUCGGUCGUCUUGUAAUCGUUUCUCCGUUUCUAGCCGUUUGCCGUCCGAGUCUCCUCCUUGUGCGGUUGUCUAGGGCAUAAACUGAAACCGAGUGCGUGUCGAAUGGAACAAAUUCGACCGCGACGGCCACUAAAAACCUGCCCGCUCGAAUAUUAAUGCUCGCUUUAAUUUAAUUGAGUGACCAACAACAGCAAUAUAUUAGGAGAGUUUGUUUGUUUCAUUUUUAGCUCCAUUCACACGCUUUCACUUUCUCUGCGCGAGAGCUUCGACGAACUGAAACUGAAACCGAGUUUAUCACUGGUGUUUGACUUGUUGCAGCAUCAUGGGUAGUUUAUAUUCGUAUUUUUAUUCAUAAACAAUGCACAGUACAUAUAAAAUUACAGUAAGUACAGAA